RNAcentral lists this unclassified non-coding RNA (200 nucleotides) under fungal sp. RNAcentral's name for it is "partial internal transcribed spacer 2". Lineage: Eukaryota; Fungi. The record is from RNAcentral.
UUAAGUUCAGCGGGUAUCCCUACCUGAUCCGAGGUCAACAUGGAGAAAUUAAUCGCGAGACUGGUGCCGUCGCCCUAACGUGACAACAUUUAUGCGCCCGUGGUUUGACGUACCAUCACUGAUUUUUAGGCAUGCCCCAAGGCAAGGCCCAACAUCAAGUUAACCAAAAGGUUUAACUUGAGGGGUGUAAUGACGCUCGA